This 260-nucleotide ribosomal RNA is filed under the name Rhizobium leguminosarum bv. phaseoli. RNAcentral's name for it is "partial 16S ribosomal RNA". It matches the Rfam family "Bacterial small subunit ribosomal RNA", at positions 46 to 334 of the family's 1533-position model. Lineage: Bacteria; Pseudomonadati; Pseudomonadota; Alphaproteobacteria; Hyphomicrobiales; Rhizobiaceae. The record is from RNAcentral.
AGGCUUAACACAUGCAAGUCGAGCGCCCCGCAAGGGGAGCGGCAGACGGGUGAGUAACGCGUGGGAAUCUACCCUUGACUACGGAAUAACGCAGGGAAACUUGUGCUAAUACCGUAUGUGUCCUUCGGGAGAAAGAUUUAUCGGUCAAGGAUGAGCCCGCGUUGGAUUAGCUAGUUGGUGGGGUAAAGGCCUACCAAGGCGACGAUCCAUAGCUGGUCUGAGAGGAUGAUCAGCCACAUUGGGAGUGAGACACGGCCCAA